Molecule: ribosomal RNA, 468 nt
Filed under: uncultured bacterium
Lineage: Bacteria
Description: partial 16S ribosomal RNA
Rfam family: Bacterial small subunit ribosomal RNA
Source: RNAcentral
GACGAACGCUGGCGGCGCGCCUAACACAUGCAAGUCGAACGGAGCUGAGAGAAUCUUGCUUUGCUUAGCUUAGUGGCGAACGGGUGAGUAACGCGUGAGUAACCGGCCCUGGGGGGGGGGACAACAGAUGGAAACGACUGCUAAUACCGCAUAAGCCCACGAUCCGGCAUCGGAUUGAGGGAAAAGGAUUUAUUCGCGUCAGGGUGGACUCGCGUCCAAUUAGCUAGUUGGUGAGGUUACGGCCCACCAAAGGGACGAGUGGUAGCCGGAAAGAGAGGUUGGACCGACACACUUGGGGGGGGACACGGUCCGGAAUCCUAGGGGAGGGGCGAAUGGGGGAUAUUGCAAAAUGGGGGAAACCCUGAUGCAGCGACGCCGCGUGGAGGAAGAAGGUUUUCGGAUUGUACACUACUGUAGUUAGGGACGAUAAUGACGGUACCUAAAAAGAAAGCACCGGCUAACUACGUG